RNAcentral lists this ribosomal RNA (543 nucleotides) under uncultured eukaryote. RNAcentral's name for it is "SSU rRNA". It matches the Rfam family "Eukaryotic small subunit ribosomal RNA", at positions 549 to 1098 of the family's 1831-position model. The record is from RNAcentral.
UGGAGGGCAAGUCUGGUGCCAGCAGCCGCGGUAAUUCCAGCUCCAAUAGCGUAUAUUAAAGUUGUUGCAGUUAAAAAGCUCGUAGUGGAAUUUUUGAUCUGGCCAAGGUGUCGGCCGCAAGGUCUGUACUUCUUGGCUGGAUCUUUCCUUCUGGAGAGCCAUUAUGCCAUUUAUUUGGUGUUUUGGGGAUCCAGGACUUUUACCUUGAAAAAAUUAGAGUGUUUAAAGCAGGCAUACGCUUGAAUACAUUAGCAUGGAAUAAUAGAAUAGGACUUUGGUUCUAUUUUGUUGGUUUCUAGGACCGAAGUAAUGAUUAAUAGGGACAGUUGGGGGCAUUAGUAUUUCAAAGUCAGAGGUGAAAUUCUUGGAUUUUUGAAAGACUAACUUCUGCGAAAGCAUUUGCCAAGGAUGUUUUCAUUAAUCAAGAACGAAAGUUAGGGGAUCGAGGACGAUCAGAUACCGUCGUAGUCUUAACCAUAAACUAUGCCGACUAGGGAUCGGACGAUGUUACUUUAUUGACUCGUUCGGCGCCUUACGGGAAAC